RNAcentral lists this long non-coding RNA (1645 nucleotides) under Homo sapiens (human). Its description in RNAcentral is "non-protein coding lnc-MTA3-10:1". The record is from RNAcentral. Lineage: Eukaryota; Metazoa; Chordata; Mammalia; Primates; Hominidae.
CAGCUCCCACCCACCAGGGCAGAUGAGCCAACAGGAGGCUAUAAAGACAGAGGCCUGCAUGAGGAAAGGCUGGCGUGUAGCCAGAGCUGGAGGCUCCUGGGUUCCAGGGACACAGCUCUGGGGGAGCACGGAGCGUGGGACCAGGGAGGAAAGAUCACACUUGGUCUCAUUUCCAGCUCUCUGCUGUGGCCACCACUGGGGAGCCCAUGGCUGCCUGACACUCCUCACCACCACUCCCAGCCCUAGGCCGUGCUGCCCACCAGCCGUCAGCCAGUGCCCUGCAUGGCAGGCAGGCCAUGGUAUCUGGGAGAGCUAAGGGCUUCCUAGCACUGUAGCCACCAUGUAUGGGGCACCCUCUCUGGCCAGGCACCGUGACCAAGCACUUUAACCAUAUUAUAUCACUUAAUCUUUGACAGCCCCACCAGGUAGGCAGUACUCUUACGAUCCUUAUUUUAUGGAUGAAGAAACAGAGGCCAGGGUCAUCCAACCUGCAAAUGGUUGAGCCGGGAUUCAAACCCAAAACUGUUAGACUCCAAAAGUGGCCCUCUCAACUGCCACUUCCUGCCUCCUCUCCCACACCACAAUGGCCACUGUGUACCCGGUUCCCAUGAGGGACAUUUGGGGAGGGGGACAAGUCCAGGGUUGAGAGGGGGAAAGUUCCAGUGUAGUGCUUGGGGUUCCCCGCCCCAUGCAAGGUAAGGUAAGCUGGCAGCCACCUAAUUGAAACACACACCCCCACCACACCCCCGCCACACCCCCCUGCCUCACCUAGAAUGUCCCCCACUCAACUACUGCAGCACCUGGAGUCCUGCCAUUAGAACCUCAUGCUUGUUUUAGAGAAUGCUUUUUCUGUGGGACAAGAGCUGUUGUCUUUAGUCUCCUAUUUUAAAAGACAAAUCCUCUUGGAAGGCAGGAGAGGCUGAGGUCAGCAGGGAGGUCCUAGAGAAAUGUAUGCAAAAGCCAGGAGGGCCCAGAAGGCAAAUUCUGUGAUCAAAUUCAGUGAUGUUAUGGCCCUGGGAUGAGGAUGACAGUGAGGGUGACCCUUGGCACCCUACCUAGGGCACCUGGUACUCUUUCCCACCAGUUGCACAUCAUAUUCCACACCCAGCAGACCCUCAAUCAAUGGCAUUCUAAUUAGUCAUAGCAGGAGGGUAACCCUAAGAGAUGUAGCAGAACUGCAAUUUUCACCCCACUUUAGAGUCCAGGAAACUGAGGCCUAGAGAGGCUGUGAGUAGCUCCAACUUGACAGUGGGUCAGAGAAGAACCAGAUCAGUACUCAGGAGUCCAGAGUUGGUGGUUGGAGGGGGUGGCGUGCAAUGAGAGGCUGGUGGGUGGGGUCAUGCAUGGCAAUGCAACCCUGGAGGCCCCAUCUCCUUCAGAGAAGUCAAGGUGGUGAGGUCAAGGGGAAGGGGAAGGAGGACAGGAGCAGAGAGGUGAUGUGAGGGAAGCAGGGUGGGCUGGCAGGGGCCGAGAACCCCAGUGCCUGGGAAUCUUCAGGGGCUCUGCGAGGCGGCCCAAGGCCGGGGUUCCCACAGCGGCAGGUGGUCACCAAGCGGGCCAGGCCGGACAGGGCUGGCACCGACUCUAGCAGGGGUGGAGGUGCCAGCUCUCACCCGCCAGCCGGCCUGCCAGCUGGGGAAGCUUC